Molecule: ribosomal RNA, 508 nt
Filed under: uncultured bacterium
Lineage: Bacteria
Description: bacterial SSU rRNA
Rfam family: Bacterial small subunit ribosomal RNA
Source: RNAcentral
GAUAUGGCUCACGAUGAACGCUAGCGACAGGCUAACACAUGCAAGUCGAGGGCAGCAUAAAAGUAGCAAUACUUGGUGGCGACCGGCGCACGGGUGAGUAACGCGUAUGCAACCUACCUAUCGAGAGGGGAAUAACCCGGCGAAAGUCGGACUAAUACCGCAUAAAACAGGGGCACCGCAUGGUGAUAUUUGUUAAAGAAAUUCGCUGAUAGAUGGGCAUGCGUUCCAUUAGGUAGUUGGUGAGGUAACGGCUCACCAAGCCGACGAUGGAUAGGGGAACUGAGAGGUUGGUCCCCCACACUGGUACUGAGACACGGACCAGACUCCUACGGGAGGCAGCAGUGAGGAAUAUUGGUCAAUGGGCGAGAGCCUGAACCAGCCAAGUCGCGUGAAGGAAGAAGGAUCUAUGGUUCGUAAACUUCUUUUGCAGGGGAAUAAAGUGCAGGACGUGUCCUGUUUUGUAUGUACCCUGAGAAUAAGGAUCGGCUAACUCCGUGCCAGCCGCCGC